GGGGAAAGGAAUCAUCCAAAAAAGAAAAAAAAGUAUCACCCUCUCUGGGUGACGACUGGACGCCGGCCACCACACCCGGCAAAGAAACUUGGGAAGCCUCCAACCGUCUUUCUUCUUCGGGCAUCAAGAUCCAAGGCCGAUGUUCUCCUUCGUUCUCCAUCUCCUCCGGCGAAAAUUCGGCCGAUUUCGCAGCAUCCCAAGCAACCGCGACGCCUGCACAUCUCGAAAAUCAAGUCGGACAUCUUUUUAUCUGGCUGUUGGGGUUCUCCACGCAAAUGAAGGGAGGGCUCCAAAAACCCCCAAUUCAGGACUCAGGGAGCAAUCGUCCGAUUAAAUCGCCCCUGCUGCUGUUAUUGCCGCUUCCAGAUUCAUCACCCGCCACUGAAUCAAUCGCCGCCGUAGUGCUUUAGCACCGGAGUUCGUCUCCGUCGGCACCAUGUUUUGGAUUCCCUAAUUCCAUCGUCGAAUCGGCUAGAAGAACCUCGGAAUCGAAGACCCACGAAAUCAGGAAGGGGAUGCAUCUUCUCCGGUAGGGUUCUGUGAUUUUCCAAGGACAUCAAGGCUUCUCUCUCAGAUCCGAUCGGGAACAACCACCGCUGCAGCCUUUCCUCGGUUUCGCCGCACUUAUUUUCCAUCGCCACCUGCACGGCCUCUUUUGGCAACAGCCGUCGCCGUCGCCUGAUCCAGCCGUGUCGCAGUCCAAGUCGUGCCUCCUUCUCAGCCGAUACUCGGCCACCUGACUCACCUCGCCUCUAUCUCUCAAUCUUCCCUCUCAUCUCUACAAUCGCAGCAACCGAGCACAAGCCACUGACUACUAAUCUCUUUGUUCUCCAUUUUCUCCGGUGAAAUCCUCCAAUAUGGGAUCUACGGCAGAUUCGCUCAACCCUUGUUUUCAAUUUCUCAGAUUCGAACACAUUUUCUCGAGUUUCCCCAUUAAUUUGAGGGCUCUAAUUUCCCUUUUUUCUUUUUUAUUGUGAGUUAAAAGAUGCAGUUAUUGAGCACCGACUUCAUCAAGGACUUGCUUGAAAUAUGUCGAUGAACCACCACUCUCUCUUAGUCCAUAACAGUUUUUGGAGGCUCCUAAGCUGCGUCCCCAAAAAUCUCCGCCGCAGCAACCACCAAUCACCACUAUCUUGCUGUCUACAAUGAUAAUGGACAAGAGUCUCACUCAGUCUCGAAAAAUUAUGAGGAUUUUCGGGUGAUUGAGAUGGUUGUGGUCUUCAUUAGCCAUGGCACUGUCAUAGCAGAGCACAAAGAUCAAGCAAUCAUCAUUGCCUGGUAGAAGCACCUAAAUUCCAUCGAGGCAGCAAGGGUUUGCCAUUUUUAGCGUCAUCUCGGCUUCGACCGAACAGAGUGGCUGCCUUUCUCCCUGUCAUAGGGGUCAUCACUGUGGCUUCGACCGAACAGGGCAGAAGUUGGAUCGAGUUAAACGUUAUCGAAGCUAAGUUAUCUCGAUUUUUCUCUUCGUAUUGAAUCUAGUUUGGGAAUGAUUAGGGAAAAUGGGCUGGAUUAUAUCUGACUUUGGGAGGUUUAAUUGAGGUCCAUGUACUGUGUCCUAAACUCUCGUACAUAACUAAAAUUUUGCUCUGCUUCUUGUGAUUUGCUUGAGACUCUGCUGUUGGGAUUAGUCGUAUAUAGUUAUCUUCUAUUUACUAGUGUCUCGAUAUAUGGAUAUUUGUAUUUCUCGUCCUUUGCCUUCUUGAUCAUGUUUCGAAAGUAGUCUACUAUGAUUGAUUGUUUCUAGGGAAAAUCCAGAUGCUAUAAGUAUAUGACAAUUUUUCUUGAUGUCUUUUGAAUUCACAUGUUGGGUAAACUGCCAUUUCUAAUCUUGGAUUCGCAUGUUGGCAUUUGUUUGCUUUAAACUAGAUGAAGUUACAUAUACUUCCCAAGUAGCAUAUACAAA
This 1903-nucleotide long non-coding RNA is filed under the name Salvia miltiorrhiza (redroot sage). RNAcentral describes it as "long non-coding RNA (SMIL_LNC011075)". Lineage: Eukaryota; Viridiplantae; Streptophyta; Magnoliopsida; Lamiales; Lamiaceae. The record is from RNAcentral.